UAAAGUGGCGCACGGGUGAGUAACACGUGACUAACCUACCUCCGAGUGGGGAAUAACCUAGGGAAACCUGGGCUAAUACCGCAUAACACUUACGAGUCAAAGCAGCAAUGCGCUUGGAGAGGGGGUCGCGGCAGAUUAGCUAGUUGGUGGGGUAAUGGCCCACCAAGGCAAUGAUCUGUAUCCGGCCUGAGAGGGCGCACGGACACACUGGAACUGAAACACGGUCCAG
Molecule: ribosomal RNA, 229 nt
Filed under: uncultured bacterium
Lineage: Bacteria
Description: partial 16S ribosomal RNA
Rfam family: Bacterial small subunit ribosomal RNA
Source: RNAcentral